RNAcentral lists this microRNA precursor (104 nucleotides) under Marmota monax (woodchuck). Lineage: Eukaryota; Metazoa; Chordata; Mammalia; Rodentia; Sciuridae. The record is from RNAcentral.
UAUGAGAUUGCUAGGUAAUAUGGUAAGAGCAUAUUUAGUUUUUCAAGAAACUGUCAAAUUGUCUUCUGAAAAAGGUUAGACCAUUUUACUUUUCCAGUAACAAU